AAAUGACCCGCCCGAACACAAUCACGGCUCACGAAACAAACGAAACCCUAACCAUCUCAAAUUUUUUGCCUUUCCCUCUCUUUCCCCUCCCCUCCGCGAUUUAGGAUCGGAUGGGUAGCAACGAGGAUUACUCGCAAAUCGAUGUGUCAUUGGAGGAGAAAGAUAAGCUGGUUGCGGAAGUAAUUCGCUAUGUGCUGUUCAAGACGCACCAGACUGCCGGCUGCCCGAUAAAGCGGGAAGAAUUGGCGCAAAUUGUGACAAAGAAUUACCGCCAGCGCGCCCUUCCUGGGCUCGUGAUAAGCGAGGCGAAGGAAAAGCUCUCGAGCGUUUUCGGGUACGAGAUGAGAGAGCUCCAGCGGCUUCGUCCGCUGUCGCGGUCGACUCGCUCUUCGCAGCAAUGUAUGGUAGAGGCAAAAUCAUAUAUUGUAACGAGUCAGCUGCCUUCCGAUAUCUAUAGCAAAUACGUGGAGGAUAAAGAGAACUCCCAUAUGACCGGUUUCGCUUUUGUUGUCGUCAGCAUUGUCCAUCUCGCAGGCGGUAAAAUUUCUGAAGAAAACUUAUGGCAUCAGUUGAGACGGCUGGGCUUAAACGAGAGUGACGAGAAUCAUCCGGUUUUUGGCAACAGUAAGCAGACACUGGAGAUGCUUGUGCAGCAAAGGUACUUGCAGAAGGAGAAAGUUGUCGGCCCAGAAGGCAAUACCUUGAUGUAUGAUCUUGCUGAGAGAGCAUUGGAUGAGUCCAUCAGUGGGAAAUUAAAAGACUAUAUCUCGCAGAAAGUUUCUCAUGGCAAAUGGUGAAUUGAUCAUCGAUGUAGAAGUGGUGAAUAAAGAGACCACAGCAGAAGCAGAUUGACAUUAGUUGGAAAUUCGACAGCAAGCUGCCUGAUAUUCUGAAUCCAAUCCACUUGACGUAAAUGUUCCUUGAAGCAAGGGAUUAUCAUCUGAGACCAGAUGUUUAAUGUGUAUAGCUACUCUAAUGUCUUCUUUUGCGACAGUUUAACUUAGCGGGUGAUGAAAAUACAACUGAAUUAAGCCAUGAAAAAGUGUUGUUAAGGCAACAUUUGAUUUUGAAUGGCGCUCAUUUCUGACGACACUUUAACGUCUUGAUGAUGUCAACUGAAUCAUCUUACUGUUGUACAUAUCUCCGAAAUUUAUGUUCAGAAUAUGUAGGUAAGUUUUUGUGGUGCCAUCGCUGGUUCGCUAGUCAUCUAGUAAGUCUAUGAGAUUAUUGUAUGGGAGGAAGCUAAAUGAGUUGUUAAGAAAUGCAAGAUGUAUGUGUUCUUUGCAGCUUUGUAACACGAGUAAUUUAUGAGAACAGGAAUGCUAUUAUGCUACUCAGAUGCAAUACUAUUUGUUCUUUCAUCCUUCAUAUGAUGCAA
This is an RNA transcript of Ananas comosus (pineapple), 1378 nucleotides long. It is a transcript of the gene named non-structural maintenance of chromosomes element 3 homolog, with no coding region annotated. The transcript has 9 exons. Lineage: Eukaryota; Viridiplantae; Streptophyta; Magnoliopsida; Poales; Bromeliaceae. The record is from RefSeq and is a predicted model, not a curated record.